This 401-nucleotide ribosomal RNA is filed under the name uncultured bacterium. RNAcentral's name for it is "bacterial SSU rRNA". It matches the Rfam family "Bacterial small subunit ribosomal RNA", at positions 356 to 774 of the family's 1533-position model. The record is from RNAcentral.
GGGGAAUAUUGGACAAUGGGGGAAACCCUGAUCCAGCAAUGCCGCGUGAGUGAAGAAGGCCUUAGGGUUGUAAAGCUCUUUCGCCCGCGAAGAUAAUGACGGUAGCGGGAGAAGAAGCCCCGGCUAACUCCGUGCCAGCAGCCGCGGUAAUACGGAGGGGGCUAGCGUUGUUCGGAAUUACUGGGCGUAAAGCGUACGUAGGCGGAUGCGCAAGUUGGGGGUGAAAUCCCGGGGCUUAACCUCGGAAUUGCCCUCAAAACUGCACGUCUUGAGACCGAGAGAGGUAAGGGGAAUUCCUAGUGUAGAGGUGAAAUUCGUAGAUAUUAGGAAGAACACCAGUGGCGAAGGCGCCUUACUGACUCGGUACUGACGCUGAGGUACGAAAGCGUGGGGAGCAAACA